CCUGCCCCUGACUCUGGGAUAAGCGCUGGAAACGGCGUCUAAUACUGGAUACGAGACGUGAUCACAUGGUCAACGUUUGGAAAGAUUUUUCGGUUGGGGAUGGGCUCGCGGCCUAUCAGCUUGUUGGUGAGGUAAUGGCUCACCAAGGCGUCGACGGGUAGCCGGCCUGAGAGAGGUGACCGGCCACACUGGGACUGAGACACGGCCCAGACUCCUACGGGAGGCAGCAGUGGGGAAUAUUGCACAAUGGGCGCAAGCCUGAUGCAGCAACGCCGCGUGAGGGAUGACGGCCUUCGGGUUGUAAACCUCUUUUAGCAGGGAAGAAGCGAGAGUGACGGUACCUGCAGAAAAAGCACCGGCUAACUACGUGCCAGCAGCCGCGGUAAUACGUAGGGUGCAAGCGUUAUCCGGAAUUAUUGGGCGUAAAGAGCUCGUAGGCGGUUUGUCGCGUCUGCUGUGAAAUCUGGGGGCUCAACCCCCAGCCUGCAGUGGGUACGGGCAGACUAGAGUGCGGUAGGGGAGAUUGGAAUUCCUGGUGUAGCGGUGGAAUGCGCAGAUAUCAGGAGGAACACCGAUGGCGAAGGCAGAUCUCUGGGCCGUAACUGACGCUGAGGAGCGAAAGGGUGGGGAGCAAACAGGCUUAGAUACCCUGGUAGUCCACCCCGUAAACGUUGGGAACUAGUUGUGGGGUCCAUUCCACGGAUUCCGUGACGCAGCUAACGCAUUAAGUUCCCCGCCUGGGGAGUACGGCCGCAAGGCUAAAACUCAAAGGAAUUGACGGGGACCCGCACAAGCGGCGGAGCAUGCGGAUUAAUUCGAUGCAACGCGAAGAACCUUACCAAGGCUUGACAUAUACGAGAACGGGCCAGAAAUGGUCAACUCUUUGGACACUCGUAAACAGGUGGUGCAUGGUUGUCGUCAGCUCGUGUCGUGAGAUGUUGGGUUAAGUCCCGCAACGAGCGCAACCCUCGUUCUAUGUUGCCAGCACGUAAUGGUGGGAACUCAUGGGAUACUGCCGGGGUCAACUCGGAGGAAGGUGGGGAUGACGUCAAAUCAUCAUGCCCCUUAUGUCUUGGGCUUCACGCAUGCUACAAUGGCCGGUACAAUGGGCUGCAAUACCGUGAGGUGGAGCGAAUCCCAAAAAGCCGGUCCCAGUUCGGAUUGAGGUCUGCAACUCGACCUCAUGAAGUCGGAGUCGCUAGUAAUCGCAGAUCAGCAACGCUGCGGUGAAUACGUUCCCGGGUCUUGUACACACCGCCCGUCAAGUCAUGAAAGUCGGUAACACCUGAAGCCGGUGGCCUAACCCC
Molecule: ribosomal RNA, 1307 nt
Filed under: Microbacterium sp. MCCC 1A10679
Lineage: Bacteria; Bacillati; Actinomycetota; Actinomycetes; Micrococcales; Microbacteriaceae
Description: bacterial SSU rRNA
Rfam family: Bacterial small subunit ribosomal RNA
Source: RNAcentral